GGUUAAGUGACUAAGCGUACACGGUGGAUGCCUUGGCAGUUGGAGGCGAUGAAGGACGUAUUAACUUGCGAUAAGCCUAGUCAAGCUAGUAAAAAGCACUUGAGACUAGGAUUUCCGAAUGGGGAAACCCACCUGCUUGCAGGUAUCGUUAACUGAAUACAUAGGUUAACGAGGCGAACGCGGAGAACUGAAACAUCUAAGUACCCGUAGGAAAAGAAAUCAACCGAGAUUCCGAAAGUAGCGGCGAGCGAAAUCGGAACAGCCCUUAAGCUUAUUAUGUGUUAAUGGAAGGCUGCUGGAAAGCGCCACGAUACAGGGUGAUAGUCCCGUACAUGAAAAGACAUUUUAAGUGAAAUCGAGUAGGUCGGAGCACGUGAAACUUUGACUGAAUAUAGGUGGACCAUCAUCUAAGGCUAAAUACUCCCAACUGACCGAUAGUGAACCAGUACCGUGAGGGAAAGGCGAAAAGAACCCCUGUGAGGGGAGUGAAAUAGAACCUGAAACCGUGUACGUACAAGCAGUAGGAGCCCACUUGUUGGGUGACUGCGUACCUUUUGUAUAAUGGGUCAGCGACUUAUAUUUUGUAGCGAGGUUAACCGAUUAGGGUAGCCGUAGGGAAACCGAGUCUUAACUGGGCGAAUAGUUGCAAGGUAUAGACCCGAAACCCGGUGAUCUAGCCAUGAGCAGGUUGAAGGUUGAGUAACAUCAACUGGAGGACCGAACCCACUAACGUUGAAAAGUUAGGGGAUGACUUGUGGUUAGGAGUGAAAGGCUAAUCAAACCGGGAGAUAGCUGGUUCUCCCCGAAAUCUAUUUAGGUAGAGCCUCGGACGAAUACUUACGGGGGUAGAGCACUGUUAAGGCUAGGGGGUCAUCCCGACUUACCAACCCUUUGCAAACUCCGAAUACCGUAAAGUAAUAUCCGGGAGACACACGGCGGGUGCUAACGUCCGUCGUGAAGAGGGAAACAACCCAGACCGCCAGCUAAGGUCCCAAAGUCAUAGUUAAGUGGGAAACGAUGUGGAAAGGCCCAGACAGCCAGGAGGUUGGCUUAGAAGCAGCCAUCCUUUAAAGAAAGCGUAAUAGCUCACUGGUCGAGUCGGUCUGCGCGGAAGAUGUAACGGGGCUAAACUAUGCACCGAAGCUGCGGAUUCAUCUUAGGAUGAGUGGUAGGGGAGCGUUCUGUAAGCCGUUGAAGGUGUACCGGGAGGUAUGCUGGAGGUAUCAGAAGUGCGAAUGCUGACAUGAGUAACGAUAAUGGGAGUGAAAAACUCCCACGCCGGAAGACCAAGGGUUCCUAUCCCAUGUUAAUCAGGGUAGGGUAAGUCGACCCCUAAGGCGAGGCCGAAAGGCGUAGUCGAUGGGAAACAGAUUAAUAUUUCUGUACUCGAUAUAAUUGCGAUGGGGGGACGGAGCAGGCUAAGCAAGCAUGGCGUUGGUAGUCCAUGUGAAAGUGAGUAGGGCGUUUGUUUAGGUAAAUCCGGACGAACACUAAACCUGAGACACGAGACGAGUCACUAAGGUGAUGAAGUUGCUGAUGCCAUACUUCCAGGAAAAGCCUCUAAGCUUCAGAUUAUAUGGAAUCGUACCCCAAACCGACACAGGUGGUCAGGUAGAGAAUACUAAGGCGCUUGAGAGAACUCGGGUGAAGGAACUAGGCAAAAUCGUACCGUAACUUCGGGAGAAGGUACGCUCCUAUCUGUGAUGAGACUUGCUCUCUAAGCGGACGGGAGCCGCAGUGACCAGGUGGCUGGGACUGUUUAUUAAAAACACAGCACUGUGCAAAAUCGCAAGAUGACGUAUACGGUGUGACACCUGCCCGGUGCCGGAAGGUUAAUUGAUGGGGUUAUCCUUAGGGAGAAGCUCUUGAUCGAAGCCCCGGUAAACGGCGGCCGUAACUAUAACGGUCCUAAGGUAGCGAAAUUCCUUGUCGGGUAAGUUCCGACCUG
RNAcentral lists this ribosomal RNA (1948 nucleotides) under Pseudoalteromonas sp. K222D. RNAcentral's name for it is "partial 23S ribosomal RNA". It matches the Rfam family "Bacterial large subunit ribosomal RNA", at positions 1 to 1990 of the family's 2925-position model. The record is from RNAcentral. Lineage: Bacteria; Pseudomonadati; Pseudomonadota; Gammaproteobacteria; Alteromonadales; Pseudoalteromonadaceae.